RNAcentral lists this transfer-messenger RNA (376 nucleotides) under Pseudomonadota bacterium. It matches the Rfam family "transfer-messenger RNA". From Rfam's summary of the family: Bacterial tmRNA, also known as 10Sa RNA or SsrA, is named for its dual tRNA and mRNA-like properties. Its role is to liberate the mRNA from a stalled ribosome. The record is from RNAcentral. Lineage: Bacteria; Pseudomonadati; Pseudomonadota.
GGGGCUGCAUUGGUUUCGACGUGGGUUGGAAUCGCCUCAGGGCAUGCCGAGGUUCAGUCACCUCGUAAAACCGCUGAAAAAAACUAACUGCAAACGACGAACGUUUCGCACUCGCCGCUUAAACACCGGUGAGCCUCGCAACAGCAGGCCGAUGGGCUGGGCAAGGGUGGCGCAAGCCGUCCAGGCUGCGGGGGAAUUCACAUCGGCUGGUUCACGCCCGGGCGCCUUGGGCGUGAACGAGAUUCAAGGGCGCUGGCUACUCCAGUAGCGUGCGACUGCGCGGCUGGAGUGGCGAGAUUCAAAUCAGAUCGCUAAGCAUGUAGAACUGGGCGUGGAAGGUUCGCGGACGCGGGUUCAAAUCCCGCCAGCUCCACCA